UACGUAGGUGGCGAGCGUUGUCCGGAUUUACUGGGCGUAAAGGGUGCGUAGGUGGUGAGGUAAGUCGGAUGUGAAAGCUCGGAGCUCAACUCCGAAAUGGCAUUGGAAACUACCUUGCUCGAGGGUUGGAGGGGGGACUGGAAUGCUUGGUGUAGCAGUGAAAUGCGUAGAUAUCAAGCGGAACACCAGUGGCGAAGGCGAGUCCCUGGACAACUCCUGACACUGAGGCACGAAAGCUAGGGGAGCAAACAGG
This 253-nucleotide ribosomal RNA is filed under the name uncultured bacterium. RNAcentral's name for it is "partial 16S ribosomal RNA". It matches the Rfam family "Bacterial small subunit ribosomal RNA", at positions 524 to 776 of the family's 1533-position model. The record is from RNAcentral.